AUGGCAGAAUGCUUCAAUAAGGUGCUCAAGGGUGUACGUGCAUUACCCGUGACGGCAAUAGUUCAAUACACAUUUGACAAGUUGAAUGAAUACUUUUUAAAGCACUCAAUGGAGACUGAUAAGUAGAUUGCUGGUGAGAACAAGGAUAAGCACAAGUACAAUUUCCCACCAAAGGUCGAAGAAUGGUUGGAAUUUCAAUCACGAAAGGCAGACUCCGAAGAAGCUGUACUAUAUGACGACAACGAGUGGAAGUAUGAGGUGAAAGAGCCCGGAGGAACCACAAACGAUGGCCACCAACACGGAGGCCGGGCUUUCAAGGUCUCCCUAACACGGUGUGAUUGCAGCUGCAUGAGGCCGUCUUUGCUUCAUCUCCCAUGCUCGCACUUGUUAAAUGCAUCCCGGGUUAGGAAUGUGGACGUCAAUCACCCUCUUACCGUGAGGGAGUCCGAGUUCUCAAUCAUGACGGUAAACAAUACAUGGACUCCACGGUUCCAGCCAUACUUGGACCAAUCACAAUGGCUGGAGUAUCAUGGAGUUCAACUAUGGCCGGACCCG
This 555-nucleotide ribosomal RNA is filed under the name Triticum aestivum (bread wheat). RNAcentral's name for it is "partial small subunit ribosomal RNA". The record is from RNAcentral. Lineage: Eukaryota; Viridiplantae; Streptophyta; Magnoliopsida; Poales; Poaceae.